Molecule: long non-coding RNA, 1581 nt
Organism: Scylla paramamosain (green mud crab)
Lineage: Eukaryota; Metazoa; Arthropoda; Malacostraca; Decapoda; Portunidae
Exons: 6
Source: RefSeq, a predicted model, not a curated record
AGGUGAGUUUGUUUACAGAAUUGCGUUGCAGGGAUUGAAGGAGGCAGCCACAAUUAUCCAUCAUUAUCGUCGUCACCAUGGCUUCUGAGAAGACAGAUCCCGAUGACAGCGUGGGGAGCGAUGAGGGAGGGGUCAACCAGCGGAGGGAGGACGGCGGCGAGGGAGGGAGCACGAGCCCUACUUUGAACCAAUGGUGACCUUGCCAGAAGUCUUCGUGAUCAGUGAUGAUGACCAGGAGGAGGAAAUGAUAAGACUGAGUUUCUAGAUCAAGUCAGGCGGUGCAGGCUGUUUCAUUAUCACACCUCUGAGUUGCCCCCAGAGUGGAAGGAACGAGGCUGAGGAACAAGCAGAAGGCUGUGGAGUUUGCUCAGCAGCAGAAUUAAUGCCAGUGGCUGAGUUCAGAUCCUCCAAGACACACACACACACACACACACACACACAGCAGCACCACCUCCUCACAGUCCUCCACAGCCCCUGACACAGCGUCAGACACAGCCUGACAGCCUUCAGACCACCAAAACAUCACCACAGCCUACCACAGGCCCUUCACAGACCAUUGCAGACUUCUCGCACACCACAGGAACCUCACAAACAGCCCCACAUGCCACCAUAGACACACUAGACCCCCAGCCCAUCACCUCACCCACUUCCCAGCCCCCACAGCCCCACAGCUCCCAGAAAUGAAGCCAAAGGAAGGGACUGUUUUGCUUCACCCAGCAUCCCAGGAGAGCCUAGAGAGAGGGGGCUAAUCCCAGUGAAGUCACAAAAUAUAGUCUUGAUUCUUCCUACAGUUUGAAGUUAAUGAUUGGACAGAUGGAAAGUGCUUGGCCACCUGUGUCACGGCUGUCUUUGAUCUUCCCAUCUUCCUUCCAGUCUCGGUUACUGACCUCAACUCAAAGACCAUCACAGCACUACUUUUCAUUGUUAAACUUGCUGGGAUCCAUUAUAAUGUAAGGGGAAUUAAAUGUCUUCUGAUUUUAGUAGACAUGUAAUAUCUUUUCAUAUUGAAAACUCUAUUUUAUCCUGUAUGUGAACACCUUCAAGUUACAAUACACCCCACUGUUUAAGAGUUAAAUGUGCAUAUAAAUGUUUUCUGUUGUGCCUUCUGUGUUGUGUAAUGUUGCAGUGAAAUGGUUGAAUUCCAGACUGAGUUGUGAGUCACACAUGUCUGUCAAGCAACAGGAGUAUAGAUGUGUGUUUUCCCUGCAGGUGGUAACACGGAGAGCAAGUGGAAGAAACCUUGGGAGACUUCUAUAACUCAGGAGCAAGAAGUACACCAUACUGGAACCUUGUGACUGACUGUUGGUGGUGACUGCAGGAACCAACAUUCAGAUGCCUGUCUUCUGCUAGCGAACAUCCUGUCUGCAAUCAGGUUUGUAGUGCCAUGUCACAGGGUCUGACAUCAGGAAGAGCCAAAUGGAGGGCAUCUACAGCCAGUACUGGGUGUGCUGCUGUAGAAGUGUCAAGCCAGGUGCCACAGCACAUCGUGUCAGCUGACUCCACCAGUACAUUGGUGCAGUCCAGGAUGCAUUGCUGUAUGACGUGCAUGUCUGGCAAUAAAUAAAUUUGUCUAUUCUUAUA